RNAcentral lists this ribosomal RNA (416 nucleotides) under Edwardsiella ictaluri. RNAcentral describes it as "bacterial SSU rRNA". It matches the Rfam family "Bacterial small subunit ribosomal RNA", at positions 56 to 465 of the family's 1533-position model. The record is from RNAcentral. Lineage: Bacteria; Pseudomonadati; Pseudomonadota; Gammaproteobacteria; Enterobacterales; Hafniaceae.
UGCAAGUCGGGCGGUAGCAGGGAGAAAGCUUGCUUUCUCCGCUGACGAGCGGCGGACGGGUGAGUAAUGUCUGGGGAUCUGCCUGAUGGAGGGGGAUAACUACUGGAAACGGUAGCUAAUACCGCAUAACGUCGCAAGACCAAAGUGGGGGACCUUCGGGCCUCAUGCCAUCAGAUGAACCCAGAUGGGAUUAGCUAGUAGGUGGGGUAAUGGCUCACCUAGGCGACGAUCCCUAGCUGGUCUGAGAGGAUGACCAGCCACACUGGAACUGAGACACGGUCCAGACUCCUACGGGAGGCAGCAGUGGGGAAUAUUGCACAAUGGGCGCAAGCCUGAUGCAGCCAUGCCGCGUGUAUGAAGAAGGCCUUCGGGUUGUAAAGUACUUUCAGUAGGGAGGAAGGUGUGAGCGUUAAUAG